GAUGAACGCUGGCGGCGUGCCUAAUACAUGCAAGUCGAGCGAACGGACGAGAAGCUUGCUUCUCUGAUGUUAGCGGCGGACGGGUGAGUAACACGUGGAUAACCUACCUAUAAGACUGGGAUAACUUCGGGAAACCGGAGCUAAUACCGGAUAAUAUUUUGAACCGCAUGGUUCAAAAGUGAAAGACGGUCUUGCUGUCACUUAUAGAUGGAUCCGCGCUGCAUUAGCUAGUUGGUAAGGUAACGGCUUACCAAGGCAACGAUGCAUAGCCGACCUGAGAGGGUGAUCAGCCACACUGGAACUGAGACACGGUCCAGACUCCUACGGGAGGCAGCAGUAGGGAAUCUUCCGCAAUGGGCGAAAGCCUGACGGAGCAACGCCGCGUGAGUGAUGAAGGUCUUCGGAUCGUAAAACUCUUUUAUUAGGGAAGAACAUAUGUAUAUGUAACUGUGCACGUCUUGACGGUACCUAAACAGAAAGCCACGGCUAACUUCGUG
RNAcentral lists this ribosomal RNA (497 nucleotides) under uncultured bacterium. RNAcentral's name for it is "partial 16S ribosomal RNA". It matches the Rfam family "Bacterial small subunit ribosomal RNA", at positions 28 to 507 of the family's 1533-position model. The record is from RNAcentral.